CAGAGUAUCAAUUGGAGGGCAAGUCUGGUGCCAGCAGCCGCGGUAAUUCCAGCUCCAAUAGCGUAUAUUAAAAUUGUUGCAGUUAAAAAGCUCGUAGUUGAAUUUCUGCUGCAUUGCUUUUGCUCCUUUACGAGUCUUUGCAUUGUGGCUUAUUUCGGACUUUGUUUUACAAUGUCCGGAUGUUUACUUUGAGAAAAUUAGAGUGCUCAAAGCAGGCUUUCGCCUUGAAUAGUUUAGCAUGGAAUAAUAAAGUAGGACUUUGGUUCUAUUUUGUUGGUUUUAGGUACCAAAGUAAUGGUUAAUAGGAACAGUUGGGGGCAUUCGUAUUUAACUGUCAGAGGUGAAAUUCUUAGAUUUGUUAAAGACGAACUACUGCGAAAGCAUUUGCCAAGGAUGUUUUCAUUAAUCAAGAACGAAAG
RNAcentral lists this ribosomal RNA (419 nucleotides) under Theileria ovis. RNAcentral describes it as "SSU rRNA". It matches the Rfam family "Eukaryotic small subunit ribosomal RNA", at positions 537 to 989 of the family's 1831-position model. Lineage: Eukaryota; Apicomplexa; Aconoidasida; Piroplasmida; Theileriidae. The record is from RNAcentral.